Molecule: unclassified non-coding RNA, 200 nt
Filed under: Verrucaria sp.
Lineage: Eukaryota; Fungi; Ascomycota; Eurotiomycetes; Verrucariales; Verrucariaceae
Description: partial internal transcribed spacer 2
Source: RNAcentral
UUAAGUUCAGCGGGUAUCCCUACCUGAUCCGAGGUCAAUCUGAGAAGUAGAUUUGGUAAGACCGGGCCGGAGGACGUCCAGACGCGUGCUGAAAAGCUCGUUGCAUCCAGCGUCCCCACGGGCUCUGCCAUUAUCUUUCGGGUCCACCGAAUGUCUCAGCGGUGGGACCCAACACCAAGCCGAGCUUGAGGGUUGAUAAU